UUUUAUUUUUUAUUUAUAGGUAUUUAUAAACAAAGUAAAAAUAGAAAGGCUUGGAUGUCCCAGUGAGUAUUCCUUUCUCUAUUUUUGUUCUUCAUUUUGUGAAUUCCUCCAUGCUAACAUGUUACCUUUUACUUACAUUGACUUUGUAUUACUUGGGAUAAAUAUUUGUUCUUAUGCAUAAUAAGUGAAGCUUUAACUUUGUAAUAACUACAUUUUAAUUUCGUUUCAAUUUCAUAUAACCAUUUUGUGUGUAGAAUUGAUGAUUUUAAACUGCUUAUGAAAGUAAGAGACCUCCCAUCAAAUAGAUCUAUGUGAGGAAAGGUAGGCCGUAGGUGAGUAACAGGGGAUCAUAAUCUCUGAGAGACAGUAUACUAACUAACUGUAAUAAUUAGUUAGUUAUACAAUAGAGAGUAUAAAAGGAGAUAAAGAGGGUGGGUUAGGGGUAGUAGGUAUGGAGUCCCAUUUAGUGGGUAAUUGUGGGUGAGGCCUUGAUCUCUCAUGUAUCCAUGGAAAUUACAUUCUUUGUGUACAGUGCUAUAUUCUUAUAAUGUUCUACAUUGGAGCAGCAUGCUGCUUAUUGGUUGAUUUAUUCCAGGUAUGUACUUCAGAAGAUUCAUGUAGAUUUGGAUGAAUUAGUGAGUUUUAUGGGUAUGACAAAUUCAAUAGGGUCCCUGCGGAUAUUCAGAUUGGGGAGACAAUUGCUGAUAAAGUAUCUGGGAAGCCACUACCUUCCUUCAAGGUGGAAGAACCGACAGUGAAAAUGUCUAUCUCUAUAAACACUUCACCUUUUGUUGGCUGCGAGGGGAAGUAUGUUACUAGUAGGAAUUUAAGAACAGGCUUUAUCGUGAACUUGAGCGUAAUCUGGUCAUGAAAGUUGAAGAUGGUGAAACAACAGAUGCAUUCGUUGUCAGUGGAUGUGGAACUUUGCAUAUCACCAUACUCAUAGAAGACAUGCAAAGAGAAGGAUAUGAAUUCAUGGUUGGACCCCCCAAAGUUAUCAAGAAGAAGGUGAUUGAACAACUGUUGAACCGUAUGAGGUAAUUUUUCAUUCAAUUUUUUAUGGCUAUUUAAAAGCAAAAAAUAAAAAGGUGAUAUGACAACACAUGUCUUAAAGAGUCUAAUUUGACAGACCUUGAAAUGUAGUUAUUUUCCUGUAGAACUGACAUGCUUAUUCAAGACUAAAAACACUGGAUCAAUUAUCAUGAUUAUGGAAAUAGAUGCCUGACUUUGAGGGGAAAAGUUAAGGGGAAAAGUUAAGGUAACUUUAUACAUUUAAAUUAUUGGAUUUGUAAUAGUAAAUCAGAUUGUGACACGUGUAUAUUUAAAUUAAAAUAUAUUUUAUACACGUGUCACAAUCUGAUCUAUUAUUACAAAUUCAAUGAUUGAGAUGUGUUAAAUUACCAUAACAUUAAUAUUUCAAAGUCGGAGGAUCCGGAUCGCAUGAUUAUCCGCUUAAUUUUAUGCUGUGUCCUGUUACAUGAAGGUUGGUCUGACACUAAAUAUUCCUAUGCUCAUCUAAUAUCUAUUAUGUAAGUGAAUGCACAGAGUCUCAUGUUUUUGUCUUGGGAAAAGCACAAGAAGAAUCCUGGAAAUUUGUGAGAGCCAUUUUUAUACUUUUCUUUUUCAAGAUUUACUUUCCUAAAAAAUAGCUUUUAAUUACCUUUUACUUGCAAAAUCAGCAUUGUUAGUUAUACAAAGAUGAUGUCAUAUAUAAGAAAUCUCUAUUCAUUUUUUUAUUUAUUUAUAUUUUCUUGUACAUAUGUCUGUGUGACUUGAACAUGAAUAUUCUGAUCAAUAAUUAGAACUUUUUUCUUUAUA
Cajanus cajan (pigeon pea) is the source of this 1818-nucleotide non-coding RNA. The record is from RefSeq and is a predicted model, not a curated record. Lineage: Eukaryota; Viridiplantae; Streptophyta; Magnoliopsida; Fabales; Fabaceae.